GAUGAACGCUGGCGGCGUGCCUAAUACAUGCAAGUCGAGCGAACGGACGAGAAGCUUGCUUUUCUGAUGUUAGCGGCGGACGGGUGAGUAACACGUGGAUAACCUACCUAUAAGACUGGGAUAACUUCGGGAAACCGGAGCUAAUACCGGAUAAUAUUUUGAACCGCAUGGUUCAAAAGUGAAAGACGGUCUUGCUGUCACUUAUAGAUGGAUCCGCGCUGCAUUAGCUAGUUGGUAAGGUAACGGCUUACCAAGGCAACGAUGCAUAGCCGACCUGAGAGGGUGAUCGGCCACACUGGAACUGCGACGCGGUCCAGGCUCCUACGGGAGGCAGCAGUAGGGAAUCUUCCGCAAAGGGCGAAAGCCUGACGGAGCAACGCCGCGUGAGUGAUGAAGGUCUUCGGAUCGUAAAACUCUGUUAUUAGGGAAGAACAUAUGUGUAAGUAACUGUGCACAGCUUGACGGUACCUAAUCAGAAAGCCACGGCUAACUACGUG
RNAcentral lists this ribosomal RNA (497 nucleotides) under uncultured bacterium. RNAcentral's name for it is "partial 16S ribosomal RNA". It matches the Rfam family "Bacterial small subunit ribosomal RNA", at positions 28 to 507 of the family's 1533-position model. The record is from RNAcentral.